GAGUUGCCUCCUCUGUGAAGCUUGUGAGAAUCCUCAGAGACUAAACGCCGAACUCAACUCUCUUAAUUGAGAACAACGAGAUGAUAUAGUCCGACCUUUGUAGCGAUACAAAGAAAUGCUUGCAGCUACCAAUAGCAAGCUAAAUAACAUAGGAGAAUCGUCCUAAGGUAGCGUAAUUCCUUGUCGGGUAAGUUCCGACGUGCACGAAUGGUGUAAUGACUGGAAAACUGUCUCGAGGACUCGCUCGGUGAAAAUGCACUUCCGGUGAAGAUGCCGGAUACCUGUAGUUAGACGAAAAGACCCCAGGAGCUUUACUACAGCUUCGUAUUGGCAUUGCGUGUUGCAUGCGUAGCAUAGAUGGGAGGAUUUGAAGCAUCGGUUUCGGCUGGUGUGGAUCCGUCAGUGAAAUACCAUUCUUGUUGUGUGCAAUGUCUAACCCCGUUGGGAUCCAACGGGGGACCGUGCGUGGCGGGUAGUUUUGGUGGGGCGCUAUCCUCCUAAAAAGUAACGGAGGAGUCUAUUAAGGUUCUCUAGGCGCGAAUGGAAACCGUGCCGAUAGUGUAAUGGCAUAAGAGAGCUUAACUGCGAGACGUACAUGUCGAGCAGAUGCGAAAGCAGAGCAUAGUGAACCGAUGGUACGCCUUAGACGCGGCCAGAGAUUAACGGAUAUAAGUUACCCUGGGGAUAACAGGCUAGUUCCGCCCAAGCGUCCAUAGCGACGGCGGAGUUCGGCACCUCGAUGUCGGCUCACCUUAGCGCGGGGGUGGAGAAGCUCCCAAGCGUUUGGCUGUUCGCCAAUUAAAAAGGUACGCGAGCUGGGUUCAGACCGUUCAGUGUCUCAUUCAAGAUGUCAUCUUGAAAUGGGGAAUUGAGCGGUCUGAAUCCACGAGGUUAGUAAGACAAAAAUCACGGCGGUUGCGCGUAGGAAUACGCGCGAAGAAAUCAACUGAUAUCGAUGAAAUCCGAUCGCGUUGUGUACGCGAGGACAACACCGAGGGAAUGGUUCGACUCCGCUCACCAUGAGCGAUAAGAAUUGACCCGUAGAGACUGAAUGUUGAUCGUCGAGAACCGACGAAGUUACAGUCCGAUCCUCCGAGUAAUCGGAGUAAACGUAGAUGCGUGAGACAGGUUGGUCUCCUAUCUACUACAGGCGUUGAUUCUUGAGGAGGGUCGUCCCUAGUAAAGAAUUGCUACUUCAGAGAGAGAUCUCUGAUGAUAAUGUGGCUUAUAACGGUGAAGUCUACGGUGCUUCUGGUUUUAGAGUUUGAUAUCUCGCGGUCCUGUUGAUAUCAAACUCGCUUGAGGACCAGAAUAGCACUAUGAUAAUACCGUGGGAAGUCGAUCAAAAAUAAAUCUAGCGUAUGUCGCAGAUUUUCUUGAUGGCGAUGGCAGUCUUAUGUUUCAGAUAAAGAAGCGUAAAGACGGAGCGUUGAAAAAACGCCUUAUGGCUACCAUAUGCUUUUAUCAAGAUACGCGACAUGAAAGAGAAUUGUAUUGGAUUCAGCAGAGGUUCGGUAUCGGCUACAUUUCAAGAAGAAAUGACGGCAUGACUGAAUUGCGAAUCAAUGGGUAUGCGCAAGUGCGCGAUAUUCUAAAGAAGUUAAUUCCGUACAAAAGUUAUUCACCAUUUUUGGUUUGACCCCGUAACGACUCGCGCUGAAAGACGCGCGGACUCAUGUGUUGAGGAAUCGUUCCACAUAGAACGACAGCUCACAUGGGUAAGAUGCCAUCAUCCUCGUCCCGAUUAGUGGGAACGGAUGAAGAUAUAGUCUGCGCUCCUGGAAACAGGGGACGAAGCGACGAGAGGACCGGGAUGAACUGACCUCUGGUCUACCAGCUGUCCUGCCAAGGGCACCGCUGGGUAGCUAUGUCGGGUUGCGAUAACCGCUGAAAGCAUAUAAGCGGGAAACGUGCUCCAAGAUUAGGAAUCGUUAUGAGACUCCUAGGAGAUGACUAGGUUGAUAGGCUCUAGGUGGAAGCGCCGCAAGGCGUGGAGCCGAGGAGUACUAAUAUGUCCAGUCUCUCGUGCGG
Parcubacteria group bacterium CG1_02_50_68 is the source of this 2031-nucleotide non-coding RNA. The record is from Rfam.